Molecule: long non-coding RNA, 2528 nt
Organism: Bactrocera dorsalis (oriental fruit fly)
Lineage: Eukaryota; Metazoa; Arthropoda; Insecta; Diptera; Tephritidae
Exons: 4
Source: RefSeq, a predicted model, not a curated record
CCAGAAGAAUCUUAUGGAUCGUGGAUCUUUACUGGGAAUACAAAUAGACUUUUCACAGCGACCAAAAAUUAAUUUGCGCGGAGCAGGCCUACAAGGAAGAAUUCCAGCGAAAAUAUGCAAAUCAAUAGACGCCUGAAGCAGCACACAUACACACACACACACAAACAAGUAUGCCUCACCGACACUAUUGACAUAUGAUUGACCGAAAAAAGAUUUAUUGAACUCGCUGCCACCACAAUACUUUGGCCACGACAAUCGAUAAUAUCAACGACACACCAAACAAACACACACGCACAUACAUACAGCAGAGACACUGUUCCUGUGUGGCAAAUUGUUUGCAAACGAUGACUAUUAAUCCAGGGAAAUGCACUUCCGCAAUCAAUGGCUGGCGUUGAAGCGUGUAGAAAACAUGGCUAUGCACGCACACACACAUGCACAUGCCCACCAAUACACACACAGACACGCGCCAAGCCACGCAAUCGAAAAGCAAUAUUUCUAAGGCUCGUUAGCGAGAGCUUACACGUACGUGUUGUUGUACUUGUAUGUGCCUAACAACAACAAUAAAUUUACGCGCGUUGGAGCCGCGAAUGCAGUUAACAACAAUCAGACAAUAACAAUAAUAACAACAACAAUGAAGGCAACAAUACAACAGUGUGUCAUUGAGACAGUCAGCGUUCGCGGCCAUUAGUUGCAGCAUAAGUCAAAAUGUUGUUGCCACACCACGUCUUACAGGCAACGCACCAGCAUAGAUACCUAUUGAGCUGUAUAGAUGUUUGUCGUUUGCAUUUAUAUACCUCUAAGUGUGUGGGAAACAGAAGGAUUACGGCUAAAGAGCGACAGCUCGACAUUUGUCGCAACCAGCCAGGCAGCAAGGCAGGCAGCAAAGAGUAAAUGUCGUCUGCAAUUGAACAUGACAUGUAGCAUGACUUCCAGUCAACCAAGACAAGCAGACAGUCGUUUGCGCCGUUAGGCGUGCCAACAACGCCUAACCUCCACAAAGGUAAUCGAAGUGAGGAGAGCUGAGCAGCUUUCAAGCCAGUCAAUACCAUAUUUUCUUUUAAUUUUGCUCCUCUAUAACACUUCACAGGUGAAAACCGCUCGACAAGACAAAUUAUAUUGCAGAUAGAUGAUCAACUGAUUGUUUGAUACAUUGCACAGCAGAAUAGUGCUGCCAGAUGGAAGAUUUUCGGGAAGUUAAUUAACAAGUCAGCAGAAAAAGUAUGCAGCAAAAGUUGAUAUUUUGCAUAAAAUAGGCUCUGGCUCUACUUAUCCCAUAUAAGCUUUACUUUUAAGUUUCCAUAUGCUUUCUUUAAGUUAAAAUACUAAUAUUAUAAAUAUAGAUACAUAAAUAAGUCAAGCUUUUAAUAAAAAAGAAACAUAAACAACUAAAAAUCAAAAUUUUAUAUUUAAUUUUAUUUCUUUAAUGAAUGUAAGUAGUGGACUUUAAAUAUACUUUUUUCGAAAUAUACUCAAACAAAAUUCGACCAGUGACCUUUAAUUUGGCACCACUCACUUCAUAAUAAAUAUUUUUCCUUAAGUCUGUGUUGAAUUUUUUCUUUUCGAAAUAACAUGGGUAUGCAUAACUUUUUUUAAAUUUUGUUCCACUGGAAUGUUGCACAAAGCGUUAAGCUUUCAUAUGACACCUCAUUCUUUAAGCUCCGUCCAUUAAUAACGAAGUUAUAGGCAAAAAUCGGCGUUGGAUUUUUAUUUUCAGAAUAUCAUGAUUAUGCAACAAUAUUUUUACAAAUUUUUUUAGCUUGAAUUUUCCGUCAAGCGUUAAGCUUUCAUAUGACACCUCACUCUUUAAGAUCGGUCCAUAAAUGACGAAGUUAUAAGCGAAAAAGCACCACCUUCCUGACUACUCACACGUACGCACCCAUACUUGCGCGCAACCAAAUUUGUCCGCAUGCAAUUUUGCCUGUUUCUGGCUACCAGCUACCAGGCCAACAGAACCGUGCAGUAGGUAGCGGCGGAAUGGUUUUUCGCUAAUAACUUUGUUAUUACUGGUCCGAUUUGAAAGAAUGAGGUGUCAUAUGAAAGCUUAUCGCUUGGCGCAGCUGAUGGGUUACCCUUCCUUGACAGGCAUCAACGAUUUCUUUGAGAUAUUUGGCUUGCAAAAAAAAAAUCGCCGGUUUUUUAAGAAAAAACGCAUAAAUUCUGCUAAAAAGUCCUUAUGAUGCAUAAAGCAGACUACCUUAAAUGUAUAUGAAGCCAUUCCAAAGAAAAAAUUUUAAGAAAAUUCAACUUUUACCUAUAUUUUUAAAGUUUAUUAAUCAAAAGUUAAAAAUACACUUUUUUCGAAAUCUACUGAACCAAUUCCGAAAAUUCGAUCACCGGAAUUUGCCCCUGGACUCGGGGCAUAAAUUCGAUGUACAUUUCGCAUACCCUAGGUGAGUCCAUCAUCGCAUAAAAUGCAUUUUUGUGGUAAAAAAAUGCACUCUGGGUUCAGAUCUCGAAUUUUCCGGGAUUACCGGAUUGCACCCUGAAAAAUUCAUCUUGCCAGGAUUGUAGCCCAUGCUCCGGGCCAC